This 465-nucleotide ribosomal RNA is filed under the name Vreelandella stevensii. RNAcentral describes it as "partial 16S ribosomal RNA". It matches the Rfam family "Bacterial small subunit ribosomal RNA", at positions 338 to 795 of the family's 1533-position model. The record is from RNAcentral. Lineage: Bacteria; Pseudomonadati; Pseudomonadota; Gammaproteobacteria; Oceanospirillales; Halomonadaceae.
CCUACGGGUGGCAGCAGUGGGGAAUAUUGGACAAUGGGGGGAACCCUGAUCCAGCCAUGCCGCGUGUGUGAAGAAGGCCCUCGGGUUGUAAAGCACUUUCAGUGAGGAAGAACGCCUGGUGGUUAAUACCCAUCAGGAAAGACAUCACUCACAGAAGAAGCACCGGCUAACUCCGUGCCAGCAGCCGCGGUAAUACGGAGGGUGCGAGCGUUAAUCGGAAUUACUGGGCGUAAAGCGCGCGUAGGUGGCUUGAUAAGCCGGUUGUGAAAGCCCCGGGCUCAACCUGGGAACGGCAUCCGGAACUGUCAAGCUAGAGUGCAGGAGAGGAAGGUAGAAUUCCCGGUGUAGCGGUGAAAUGCGUAGAGAUCGGGAGGAAUACCAGUGGCGAAGGCGGCCUUCUGGACUGACACUGACACUGAGGUGCGAAAGCGUGGGUAGCAAACAGGAUUAGAUACCCCUGUAGUU